AUACAUGCAGUCGAACGCGCAGCGAAAGGUGCUUGCACCUUUCAAGCGAGUGGCGAACGGGUGAGUAACACGUGGAUAACCUGCCUCAAGGCUGGGGAUAACAUUUGGAAACAGAUGCUAAUACCGAAUAAAACUUAGUAUCGCAUGAUACAAAGUUGAAAGGCGCUACGGCGUCACCUAGAGAUGGGUCCGCGGUGCAUUAGUUAGUUGGUGGGGUAAAGGCCUACCAAGACAAUGAUGCAUAGCCGAGUUGAGAGACUGAUCGGCCACAUUGGGACUGAGACACGGCCCAAACUCCUACGGGAGGCUGCAGUAGGGAAUCUUCCACAAUGGGCGAAAGCCUGAUGGAGCAACGCCGCGUGUGUGAUGAAGGCUUUAGGGUCGUAAAGCACUGUUGUAUGGGAAGAAAUGCUAGAAUAGGGAAUGAUUCUAGUUCGACGGUACCAUACCAGAAAGGGACGGCUAAAUACGUGCCAGCAGCCGCGGUAAUACGUAUGUCCCGAGCGUUAUCCGGAUUUAUUGGGCGUAAAGCGAGCGCAGACGGUUGAUUAAGUCUGAUGUGAAAGCCCGGAGCUCAACUCCGGAAUGGCAUUGGAAACUGGUUAACUUGAGUGUUGUAGAGGUAAGUGGAACUCCAUGUGUAGCGGUGGAAUGCGUAGAUAUAUGGAAGAACACCAGUGGCGAAGGCGGCUUACUGGACAACAACUGACGUUGAGGCUCGAAAGUGUGGGUAGCAAACAGGAUUAGAUACCCUGGUAGUCCACACCGUAAACGAUGAAUACUAGGUGUUAGGAGGUUUCCGCCUCUUAGUGCCGAAGCUAACGCAUUAAGUAUUCCGCCUGGGGAGUACGACCGCAAGGUUGAAACUCAAAGGAAUUGACGGGGACCCGCACAAGCGGUGGAGCAUGUGGUUUAAUUCGAAGCAACGCGAAGAACCUUACCAGGUCUUGACAUCCUUUGAGCUUCUAGAGAUAGAAGUGUUCUU
Molecule: ribosomal RNA, 985 nt
Filed under: Leuconostoc lactis
Lineage: Bacteria; Bacillati; Bacillota; Bacilli; Lactobacillales; Lactobacillaceae
Description: bacterial SSU rRNA
Rfam family: Bacterial small subunit ribosomal RNA
Source: RNAcentral